RNA transcript from Dreissena polymorpha, 2257 nucleotides. It is a transcript of the gene named DDB1- and CUL4-associated factor 17-like, with no coding region annotated. The record is from RefSeq and is a predicted model, not a curated record. NCBI's taxonomy places the organism in Eukaryota, Metazoa, Mollusca, Bivalvia, Myida, Dreissenidae. The transcript is spliced from 9 exons.
AUGAAAUAGACAAUUUAUUUGACAUGAGUCAAAACCUAAAUGUGAUAAUUUUACUAAGAAAACGGGAAAUAUAUGGGGAUAAAUAUACCAGAGAAAACUUAAAAUGUUUGCGGACGCUAGUAGUUAAGGGUAACAGAAAAUUUCAAAAGGUUUGGAGCAAAAGGUCGAAAACAUCAUUUCAUUAUGAAAGUGGAAGGUUGUUAACCUCAAAUUACCAUGAAUGCUUUUAUGGGUAUGGAAAAGGUGCCUCUCCCAGAAAGGUUUUCUCAGUCAUGGGUCCAAAAACAGAAGAUGCCCUCAUUUACAGCUGCUUCCAUGAUAACUUCCACCUCACAGAGAAUCGACCCUGGUUGAUAACGCUGCAGUCUCACACAGUCGGGGAAUGCCUACAGGUGUGUGACCUUGACACAGGUCGGUGUGACAGACAGAUCUUCUUGUCGCCAGUGAUCAGAUUCAAAUACCUAGCAUGGGCUGAACCAAACACAGUGUUCUUUGUGAAGUCGGUCAAUCUUGCUUACAGGCCUAGAUUUCCUAUGUUUAAUGCAAUUGGCUCUGUAGUGCUGGCAGUUUUCUCUGCAUUUCCCCUGCAAUUUGUGGGCAUGUUAGAAAUUGAUAAGCAGGUGAGACACAACUGCAUCUGUUACAUUUCCCCUGCAAUUUGUGGGCAUGUUUGAGAUUGGUAAACAGGUGAGACACAACUGCAUCUGUUACAUUUCCCCUGCAAUUUGUGGGCAUGUUUGAGAUUGGUAAACAGGUGAGACACAGCUGCAUCUGUUACAUUUCCCCUGCAAUUUGUGGGCAUGUUUGAGAUUGGUAAACAGGUGAGACACAACUGCAUCUGUUACAUUUCCCCUGCAAUUUGUGGGCAUGUUUGAGAUUGGUAAACAGGUGAGACACAACUGCAUCUGUUACAUUUCCCCUGCAAUUUGUGGGCAUGUUUGAGAUUGGUAAACAGGUGAGACACAGCUGCAUCUGUUACAUUUCCCCUGCAAUUUGUGGGCAUGUUUGAGAUUGGUAAACAGGUGAGACACAACUGCAUCUGUUACAUUUCCCCUGCAAUUUGUGGCCAUGUUUGAGAUUGGUAAACAGGUGAGACACAGCUGCAUCUGUUACAUUUCCCCUGCAAUUUGUGGGCAUGUUUGAGAUUGGUAAACAGGUGAGACACAACUGCAUCUGUUACAUUUCCCCUGCAAUUUGUGGCCAUGUUUGAGAUUGGUAAACAGGUGAGACACAACUGCAUCUGUUACAUUUCCCCUGCAAUUUGUGGGCAUGUUUGAGAUUGGUAAACAGGUGAGACACAACUGCAUCUGUUACAUUUCCCCUGCAAUUUGUGGGCAUGUUUGAGAUUGGUAAACAGGUGAGACACAACUGCAUCUGUUACAUUUCCCCUGCAAUUUGUGGCCAUGUUUGAGAUUGGUAAACAGGUGAGACACAACUGCAUCUGUUACAUUUCCCCUGCAAUUUGUGGCCAUGUUUGAGAUUGGUAAACAGGUGAGACACAACUGCAUCUGUUACAUUUCCCCUGCAAUUUGUGGCCAUGUUUGAGAUUGGUAAACAGGUGAGACACAACUGCAUCUGUUACAUUUCCCCUGCAAUUUGUGGCCAUGUUUGAGAUUGGUAAACAGGUGAGACACAGCUGCAUCUGUUACAUUUCCCCUGCAAUUUGUGGGCAUGUUUGAGAUUGGUAAACAGGUGAGACACAACAUUGAACACUAUAUAAUUCUGAACUUGCAGUUGCUUGGAUUUCUAUCUGCCUCAAGAAAGGUUUUAGAAUUCACAAAGAUGCUUAAGUUGUUAUGCUUGGUAAGGACUUUACGACAUUAGAUUAUUGAAACUGUAUUACAUCUGUACAAUUUUUAAAAAAGGCAUUUUUCUAUAUUGUUAAAUACCAAUUUAUAUUAGAGUGAUCAAAGAAAUGACCACAUGCUAAUAAUAUUAUAAGCUGAUAUUCUAGUGACGCAAACACACCUUACUACGUAUGUAUUUGUUCAUGUUCUAGUCCAUAUAUAAUAAUGAAACAAAUAUUUGUAAACAGCAUUAUUACUGAUGAAUGUAAAUGAUGUUUAUUUGGUAUUUAUGUUGUAUUCUCCAGAGGCAUAUCCUGCUUACCAGUUCAUUGUUAUUAAACUGGAAAAUUUCAAGGUGAAGAAUCCAAUAUUGAUGAGACUGUUCAAAUGAUGAAUUAUCUUUUUUGAUGUAGCGUUGUGGAUAUGGUGUCCACCUAGUGACCGGUUUCCCAAUAAGCUGUAGGCUUUUG